CUUGUUGGGAAAGUGUUUAGUGGCAUGGGAUGGGGUCGCGUCCUAUCGAGCUUGUAGGCGGGUAAUGGCCCACCUAGGCUUCGACGGUAGCCGGCCUGAGAGGGCGGACGGCCACAUUGGGACUGAGAUACGGCCCAGACUCCUACGGGAGGCAGCAGUGGGGAAUAUUGCGCAAUGGGGGAAACCCUGACGCAGCGACGCCGCGUGCGGGAUGAAGGCCUUCGGGUUGUAAACCGCUUUUGAUUGGGAGCAAGCUUUCGGGUGAGUGUACCUUUCGAAUAAGCGCCGGGCUAACUACGUGCCAGCAGCCGCGGUAAAU
RNAcentral lists this ribosomal RNA (319 nucleotides) under uncultured Gardnerella sp. RNAcentral describes it as "bacterial SSU rRNA". It matches the Rfam family "Bacterial small subunit ribosomal RNA", at positions 194 to 525 of the family's 1533-position model. The record is from RNAcentral. Lineage: Bacteria; Bacillati; Actinomycetota; Actinomycetes; Bifidobacteriales; Bifidobacteriaceae.